GACGAACGCUGGCGGCGUGGAUUAGGCAUGCAAGUCGAACGGUAGGAUACCUUCGGGUAUCUGAGAGUGGCGAACGGGUGAGUAACACGUAGGUGAUCUACCCUCAAGAUUGGGACAACCCAGGGAAACUUGGGCUAAUACCGGAUGAAAGCAGCAGUGAUGUUGUUUGAAAGGUGGCGUAAGCUGCCGUUUGGGGAUGAGCCUGCGCUCUAUUAGUUAGUUGGCGGGGUAAAGGCCCACCAAGGCGAUGAUAGAUAGGCGGCCUUAACGGGUGGUCGCCCACACUGGGAUUGAGAUACGGCCCAGACUCCUACGGGAGGCAGCAGUCGAGAAUAGUCUACAAUGGCCGAAAGGCUGAUAGUGCGACGCCGCGUGAACGAAGAAGCCCUUCGGGGUGUAAAGUUCUUUUAUAUGUGAGCAGUGACAUCUAUAUUAAUAGUAUGGGUGUAGAGAUAUUAGCAUAUGAAUAAGCAACGGCUAACUCCGUGCCAGCAGCCG
RNAcentral lists this ribosomal RNA (498 nucleotides) under uncultured bacterium. RNAcentral describes it as "bacterial SSU rRNA". It matches the Rfam family "Bacterial small subunit ribosomal RNA", at positions 28 to 517 of the family's 1533-position model. The record is from RNAcentral.